CCCUAUCGAGCUUUACUGGAUACCGAUAGCGUUAAUUUAGAAUGAUCGAUACCUAAGUAUCCUAAUUCUAAGUUAAUAAUUUUUGUUGGUAGGACAGUUUAGUUGGGGCGACUACCUUUGAAUAAGAAACGAAGGCGAGCUUAUGGUAUUAUUAAAAUCUCAUUAGCCUCACAGUGAGGGGGACACCCCUAGCUGGCACAAGCCCGUAACAUAGUAAGGGUAAGGGAACUUAGCCCGUUCUAUGGGGAUGUGGGCGAUAGUGACCCGAUAUGAUUAUCCAAAAUAAAUAUCGAAAGCGGAUAAAAGCUACCGUAGGG
RNAcentral lists this ribosomal RNA (317 nucleotides) under Isidella longiflora. Its description in RNAcentral is "partial 16S ribosomal RNA". It matches the Rfam family "Bacterial large subunit ribosomal RNA", at positions 2089 to 2473 of the family's 2925-position model. Lineage: Eukaryota; Metazoa; Cnidaria; Anthozoa; Scleralcyonacea; Keratoisididae. The record is from RNAcentral.